RNAcentral lists this small nuclear RNA (156 nucleotides) under Medicago truncatula (barrel medic). RNAcentral describes it as "sRNA gene24684". It matches the Rfam family "U5 spliceosomal RNA". From Rfam's summary of the family: U5 RNA is a component of both types of known spliceosome. The precise function of this molecule is unknown, though it is known that the 5' loop is required for splice site selection and p220 binding, and that both the 3' stem-loop and the Sm site are important for Sm protein binding and cap methylation. Lineage: Eukaryota; Viridiplantae; Streptophyta; Magnoliopsida; Fabales; Fabaceae. The record is from Rfam by way of RNAcentral.
AACCAUGCAGCGAGCACAAAACGAACUAUUCUUUUGCCUUUUUAGCAUGGAGCCAUGCAGCGAGUACAAAACAAACUAUUCUUUAAAGGAUAUCGUGUGCUCGUUGCUUUGAGUGGCAUUCCUCUAUUUUUGGGAGGUGACCUUUCAAAAAUAUAC